CUACGAAGGGGGCUAGCGUUGUUCGGAAUUACUGGGCGUAAAGCGCGCGUAGGCGGAUUGGUCAGUUAGGGGUGAAAUCCCAGGGCUUAACCCUGGAACUGCCUCUAAUACUGCCAGUCUUGAGUUCGGGAGAGGUGAGUGGAAUUCCUAGUGUAGAGGCGAAAUCCGUAGAUAUUAGGAAGAACACCAGUGGCGAAGGCGGCUCACUGGCCCGAUACUGACGCUGAGGCGCGAAAGCGUGGGGAGCAAACAGGAUUAGAAACCCGGGUAGUCC
This 274-nucleotide ribosomal RNA is filed under the name uncultured bacterium. RNAcentral's name for it is "partial 16S ribosomal RNA". It matches the Rfam family "Bacterial small subunit ribosomal RNA", at positions 523 to 796 of the family's 1533-position model. The record is from RNAcentral.